RNAcentral lists this long non-coding RNA (609 nucleotides) under Nicotiana tabacum (common tobacco). Its description in RNAcentral is "long non-coding RNA (NTAB_LNC002131)". The record is from RNAcentral. Lineage: Eukaryota; Viridiplantae; Streptophyta; Magnoliopsida; Solanales; Solanaceae.
UUAUGGCUACUCCAAACAUGUCCAACUCACAGAUGUUUUGCAAAGCUGAAAUCCUUGCCCUUUACCAUGGGUUAUGUCUUGGCAUUACUCGUAAACUCCAAUCGUUGAUAGUGAAACUGACUCCCAGAGUCCCAGGUACUAAUCUCACUACUUCUAUAGAGAAGAAACAGAAAAUACUCAUUUCUCUCUGUUAUGCUUGCAGGUUGAUGCUACGUGAACUUCAAGUGCCCCAGUUCCACCACACAUUCCGGGAGGGUAAUGGCGCGGCAGAUGCUCUCGCAAAAUAUGACAAAAAUUUACCUCAUCAUCAUCCCCAAGAUGUCUUAGUUUUUGAAAAUACCCUCCCCCUUACUUUCAAAUCUUAAUUUAGAUUUUGACGUAACAGGUUCAGUCCGGUGACAGAAUUAGGAUUUUCAUUAAGGGCAGUCAAAAUAUAAAGAAAUAAACUCACCAAGAAGUCAAGUGGUGUCAUUAUAUAAUAUAUAUAUUUUAUUUUUUUUAAAUUACCGAGUUAAACAGUAUAAUUUUCAGAUGAAGAGGUGUCAACCGAUACUACUUGGGUGCAUGUGGCUCCGCCAUUGGUUCAGUCCCAUCUGUGUACUCUUUUAC